UGGGGAAUAUUGCACAAUGGGCGAAAGCCUGAUGCAGCAACGCCGCGUGAGUGAUGAAGGCCUUCGGGUUGUAAAGCUCUGUCUUUUGGGACGAUAAUGACGGUACCAAAGGAGGAAGCCACGGCUAACUACGUGCCAGCAGCCGCGGUAAUACGUAGGUGGCAAGCGUUGUCCGGAUUUACUGGGCGUAAAGGAUGCGUAGGCGGAUUUUUAAGUGAGAUGUGAAAACCCUAAGCUUAACUUGGGGACUGCAUUUCAUACUGGAAAUCUAGAGUGCGGGAGAGGAGAAUGGAAUUCCUAGUGUAGCGGUGAAAUGCGUAGAGAUUAGGAAGAACACCAGUGGCGAAGGCGAUUCUCUGGACCGUAACUGACGCUGAGGCAUGAAAGCGUGGGUAGCAAAACAGGAUUAGAUACCCUGGUAGUCCACGCCGUAAACGAUGAGUACUAGGUGUAGGAGGUAUCGACCCCUUCUGUGCCGCAGUUAACACAAUAAGUACUCCGCCUGGGAAGUACGAUCGCAAGAUUAAAAACUC
Molecule: ribosomal RNA, 533 nt
Filed under: uncultured bacterium
Lineage: Bacteria
Description: partial 16S ribosomal RNA
Rfam family: Bacterial small subunit ribosomal RNA
Source: RNAcentral